Molecule: ribosomal RNA, 305 nt
Filed under: uncultured bacterium
Lineage: Bacteria
Description: bacterial SSU rRNA
Rfam family: Bacterial small subunit ribosomal RNA
Source: RNAcentral
UUUUCCCUACGGGGGGCAGCAGUCGAGAAUCAUUCACAAUGGGGGAAACCCUGAUGGUGCGACGCCGCGUGGAGGAUGAAGGUUUUAGGAUUGUAAACUCCUUUUGUAAGAGAAGAUUAUGACGGUAUCUUACGAAUAAGCACCGUCUAACUCCGUGCCAGCAGCCGCGGUAAUACGGAGGGUGCAAGCGUUACUCGGAAUCACUGGGCGUAAAGAGCGCGUAGGCGGGUGGUCAAGUCAGAUGUGAAAUCCUGUAGCUUAACUACAGAACUGCAUUUGAAACUGAUCAUCUAGAGUAUGGGAGG